Molecule: ribosomal RNA, 326 nt
Filed under: uncultured eukaryote
Lineage: Eukaryota
Description: partial 18S ribosomal RNA
Rfam family: Eukaryotic small subunit ribosomal RNA
Source: RNAcentral
CCCUUAGAUGUUCUGGGCCGCACGCGCGCUACACUGAUGCAUUCAACAAGCCUAGCCUUGACCGAGAGGUCCGGGUAAUCUUUGAAACUGCAUCGUGAUGGGGCUAGAUUAUUGCAAUUAUUAAUCUUCAACGAGGAAUGCCUAGUAAGCGUGAUUCAUCAAAUCGCGUUGAUUACGUCCAUGCCCUUUGUACACACCGCCCGUCGCUCCUACCGAUUGAAUGUGUUGGUGAGGAGCUCGGAUUGGCAGCAGUUGGUGGUUCGCCACCGGCUAUUGCUGAGAAGUCCUCCAAACCGCCCCAUUUAGAGGAAGGAGAAGUCGUAACA